UGGGCAGAUAGCAUUUUCAAUAAUGAAGAG
RNAcentral lists this non-coding RNA (30 nucleotides) under Mus musculus (house mouse). The record is from RNAcentral. Lineage: Eukaryota; Metazoa; Chordata; Mammalia; Rodentia; Muridae.